GCGUUGUUAGGCUAGCGGUAAACUGGGGCCUUGCCAUCGCGGAAUUUGGCCUCGUCAGGGGUUCGACUCCCCUACAACGCA
Molecule: transfer RNA, 81 nt
Organism: Puccinia triticina 1-1 BBBD Race 1
Lineage: Eukaryota; Fungi; Basidiomycota; Pucciniomycetes; Pucciniales; Pucciniaceae
Rfam family: tRNA
About the family: Transfer RNA (tRNA) molecules are approximately 80 nucleotides in length. Their secondary structure includes four short double-helical elements and three loops (D, anti-codon, and T loops).
Source: Rfam